This 453-nucleotide ribosomal RNA is filed under the name uncultured Sphingopyxis sp. Its description in RNAcentral is "partial 16S ribosomal RNA". The record is from RNAcentral. Lineage: Bacteria; Pseudomonadati; Pseudomonadota; Alphaproteobacteria; Sphingomonadales; Sphingopyxidaceae.
CACGGAGUUAGCCGGAGCUUAUUCUCCAGGUACUGUCAUUAUCAUCCCUGGUAAAAGAGCUUUACAACCCUAAGGCCUUCAUCACUCACGCGGCAUUGCUGGAUCAGGCUUUCGCCCAUUGUCCAAUAUUCCCCACUGCUGCCUCCCGUAGGAGUCUGGGCCGUGUCUCAGUCCCAGUGUGGCUGAUCAUCCUCUCAGACCAGCUAAAGAUCGUCGCCUUGGUAGGCCUUUACCCCACCAACUAGCUAAUCUUACGCGGGCUCAUCCUUGGGCGAUAAAUCUUUGGUCCGAAGACAUUAUACGGUAUUAGCACAAAUUUCUCUGAGUUAUUCCGUACCCAAGGGCAGAUUCCCACGCGUUACGCACCCGUGCGCCACUAAGUCCGAAGACUUCGUUCGACUUGCAUGUGUUAGGCAUGCCGCCAGCGUUCGUUCUGAGCCAGGAUCAAACUCU